AAUGAACGCUGGCGGCGCGCCUAAUACAUGCAAGUCGAGCGAGAAGACGUAGCAAUACGUUUGUAAAGCGGCGAACGGGUGAGGAAUACAUGGGUAACCUACCCUAGAGUGGGGAAUAACUAGCCGAAAGGUUAGCUAAUACCGCGUACGCUCCUUGGACUUCGGUUCAGGGAGGAAAGCGAUGCCGAGGGUAUCGCGCUCUUGGAUGGGCUCAUGUCCUAUCAGCUUGNGGUGAGGUAACGGCUCACCAAGGCUUCGACGGGUAGCUGGUCUGAGAGGACGAUCAGCCACACUGGCACUGCGACACGGGCCAGACUCCUACGGGAGCAGCAGUAAGGAAUAUUGCGCAAU
This 351-nucleotide ribosomal RNA is filed under the name uncultured bacterium. RNAcentral describes it as "bacterial SSU rRNA". It matches the Rfam family "Bacterial small subunit ribosomal RNA", at positions 29 to 372 of the family's 1533-position model. The record is from RNAcentral.